RNAcentral lists this ribosomal RNA (406 nucleotides) under uncultured bacterium. Its description in RNAcentral is "partial 16S ribosomal RNA". It matches the Rfam family "Bacterial small subunit ribosomal RNA", at positions 30 to 526 of the family's 1533-position model. The record is from RNAcentral.
AUUGAACGCUGGCGGCAGGCCUAACACAUGCAAGUCGAACGAGUGGCGGACGGGUGAGUAAUUUCUUGGAAACUGCCUGAUGGAGGGGGAUAACUACUGUAAACGGUAGCUAAUACCGCAUACCAUCAUCUGGGCCCAGAUUGGAUUGGCUUGUUGGUGGGGUAACGGCUCACAAAGGCGACCAUCCCUAGCUGGUCUGAGAGGCGGACCAGCCACACUGGAACUGAGACACGGUCCAGACUCCUACGGGAGGCAGCAUUGGGGAAUAUGGCACAAUGGGCGAAAGCCUGAUGCAGCCAUGCCGCGUGUAGGAAGAAGGCCUUCGGGUUGUAAAGUACUUUCAGCGGGGAGGCGGUACCCGCAGAAGAAGCACCGGCUAACUCCGUGCCAGCCGCCGCGGUAAUUC